Molecule: ribosomal RNA, 405 nt
Filed under: uncultured bacterium
Lineage: Bacteria
Description: bacterial SSU rRNA
Rfam family: Bacterial small subunit ribosomal RNA
Source: RNAcentral
UAAGGGAUAUUGCGCAAAUGGACGGAAGUCUGACGCAGCAACGCCGCGUGCGGGAGGACGGCCUUCGGGUCGUAAACCGCUUUUCGAGGUGAAGAGCGAGGACGGUAACCUCGGAAGAGGUCUCGGCUAACUACGUGCCAGCAGCCGCGGUAAAACGUAGGAGGCGAGCGUUAUCCGGAUUUACUGGGUGUAAAGCGCGUGCAGGCGGUCUGUUAAGUGCGGUGUGAAAGCGCCUGGCUCAACCGGGCGAGGACGCCGCAGACUGGCGGGCUGGAGGCAGGGAGAGGUCUGUGGAAUUCCGGGUGUAGUGGUGAAAUGCGUAGAGAUCCGGAGGAACACCAGUGGCGAAGGCGGCAGACUGGCCCUGACCUGACGCUCAGACGCGAAAGCACGGGGAGCGAACGG